AACGCACAUUGCACUCUCUGGUAUUCCGGAGAGUAUGCUUGUUUGAGUAUCAGUAAACACCUCAAAUCUCUUUUUUAUUAAAGAGAAUUGGACUUGAGCAAUCCCAACUCUGUAAAAAGAGGCGGGUUGCUUGAAAUGCAGGUGCAGCUGGACAUUCUUCUGAGCUAAAAGCAUAUUUAUUUAGUCCCGUUAAACGGAUUAUUACUUUUGCUCUAGCUAAUAUAAAGGUCGAAUGGACUAUACGCUGACUGAUGCAGGAUUACCAAGUCUCUGUCAAAAGGAGACUUGUAAACUCGAUCUCAAAUCAAGUAAGACUACCCGCUGAACUUAA
Molecule: unclassified non-coding RNA, 331 nt
Filed under: uncultured fungus
Lineage: Eukaryota; Fungi
Description: sequence contains ITS2
Source: RNAcentral